AGGGCACCACCAGGAGUGGAGCCUGCGGCUUAAUUUGACUCAACACGGGAAAACUUACCCGGCCCGGACACUGGAAGGAUUGACAGAUUGAGAGCUCUUUCUUGACUCAGUGGGUGGUGGUGCAUGGCCGUUCUUAGUUGGUGGAGCGAUUUGUCUGGUUAAUUCCGAUAACGAACGAGACUCUAGCCUACUAAAUAGACUACUGGUCAUUAUUGCCAGUAGGACUUCUUAGAGGGACAAGCGGCGACUCAGCCGCAUGAAAGAGAGCAAUAACAGGUCUGUGAUGCCCUUAGAUGUCCGGGGCCGCACGCGCGCUACACUGAGGUGAUCAGCGUGCCGAGUUUCCUGCUCCGAGAGGAGUGAGUAACCCGAUGAACCUACCUCGUGAUAGGGAUAGAGCAUUGUAACUAUUGCUCUUGAACGAGGAAUUCCCAGUAAGUGCGAGUCAUAAGCUUGCAUUGAUUACGUCCCUGCCCUUUGUACACACCGCCCGUCGCUACUACCGAUUGAAUGAUUUAG
RNAcentral lists this ribosomal RNA (519 nucleotides) under uncultured eukaryote. Its description in RNAcentral is "SSU rRNA". It matches the Rfam family "Eukaryotic small subunit ribosomal RNA", at positions 1161 to 1701 of the family's 1831-position model. The record is from RNAcentral.